Molecule: long non-coding RNA, 2672 nt
Filed under: Homo sapiens (human)
Lineage: Eukaryota; Metazoa; Chordata; Mammalia; Primates; Hominidae
Description: non-protein coding lnc-GJA9-1:4
Source: RNAcentral
AUGGUGCUGUUUUAAAAGCAAGGAUAAGCAGAAAGGGACAUGGAUUUUAGUUGAUGGAUGACUCACUCACUACAUUCAACUGAACUGAAUCUGCUCUAUACCAGCAAAGGGACAAAUUCAGAAAAUAAAUUGAAGAUGGCCAUGCUGUAACUUCUAAACAUGGUUUGCUUCUCAGAUUUACCUAAACUAAGAAAGGCCGCCGACUCGAAGCGUGAGCAGUUCCGGAGGUACUUGGAGAAGUCGGGGGUGCUGGACACGCUGACCAAGGUGUUGGUAGCCUUAUAUGAAGAACCAGAGAAACCUAACAGUGCUUUGGAUUUUUUAAAGCAUCACUUAGGAGCUGCUACUCCAGAAAAUCCAGAAAUAGAGCUGCUUCGCCUAGAACUGGCCGAAAUGAAAGAGAAGUAUGAAGCUAUUGUAGAAGAAAAUAAAAAACUGAAAGCAAAGCUUGCUCAGUAUGAACCACCUCAGGAGGAGAAGCGUGCUGAAUAGGAUUCUUCUCAGUUUGAAAGACAAUGAAAAAUGGUUUUGUAUGACUUGAAUAGUUUGUAUAGUAUAUAAUCUUUUCUGAACAGAUGCUAUAGAACUCUUUUAAUAUGUUUAAUUCACCUAUCACACUCUGUUAAAAACACAUAGAAUCAUCAAUAAAAACUCAAUAUAACUUUCUUUGGGUCUUAAAGCAGGAGAAUCCAAAGUAAAUCCUGAACAAAACCUAAACACAGCCAUCUAACUCAUUACCUUAAAAGACAUUCUGUUUAUUAGUCUGAUUAGGAAUGAUGGCACUGGUUGUAUUUUAGCCAAGACAGUUUAGCAUGGAGCUAUUCCUUGGUGCAGUUCAGGAUAUGAACACAGGUACAGUCAUUCUUUGAAGGUGACACUGUUCUGUAUAUUCCCUAUAGGCAGCUGGAGAGAUCUGUGUGACACAAGAUGCUUUUGUACGGGUUCCCAUGAAUCUUCUGCUCUUGUUUGUGUGACAUGGAACAAAUAACUUCUUUGCCACCACUUUGCCUUAGAUAACUGUGUGUGUGUGUGCCAGUUUGAACUCUGACACCACAUUUUCCUUCUAUGCAAUCAUGCCUGUCUGAUAAUCUUGCAUUGCUUUCCUCUGAGCUUUAGUGGGUCCUAGUUGCACACUGGCCUUUCUGUGCUGUUUUUCAAUUUGCCUAAUAAUAGCAGUUACCCUGAUUGUAAUUUAUGUAACUUUAAACAGGAUCACACUGUACCCCCUGCCUGCCUUAUUUGCUUACUGAGCACAGGACAGAGGCAAUAUACAACUCUGGGUUCACACACAAGCUGAGAUGAGAAGAGGAAUGAGCCAUAUAUUGGGGAAAAUCAUAGUUUGUAGGUAUAAUUAUAUAGUGCUUUUCUCCCUCAAAGUAUUUUUCUAGCCUUGAAUUCAUUUUAUCUUCAUUAUCCCUGUGAAGUAGGUGGGACAAGUAUAAGGGGAAGAGGGGUGCUGAAUUUUUAGGCCAAAGACUGAUAUUAAUACAAAUCACUCACUAACUGUAGAGCCUUGGGCAUUAUCAGUGAACUACUCUGAGAUUUACUGUCUUCAUCUGUUUAAUGAGUAGAAUGUCCGUGAUGCCUACCUCACAGGGUUGUUGUGAGGGUCAAAUGAGAAUGUAUGUGAAAGAUUUGUAAAUGGUAAAGCACUAUAUUCUUGUUUGUUAGUCCUUUUUCCUUUCUUUGGGUAGACCUACAGUCAGAUGUUUUGUUUUAUGGAUCACUUAUUUUCCUUACUGGUAGACUGUCGUUUUAUAGACAUAUUCCUAUUUCAUAUAUUCUCUCCCUGUUGUUAGAGAACCUAUCUUUGUUUUUGGUCAAAACACACAUAGAAAACAAAAUGAUCCAAUGAAAACUGGUUUAACUAGCAAAAGCCUUGGCACCUGUUGGAGACUAUGACCAAGCCAAUAAAAAGGGCAUUUAAAUCAGCCCUGUUAGUAGGAAUGUGGCUAUGGCUGGUGCCUCUUCUAGUCACAAGUUUGUUUUUGGAGGGGGUCCAGAAGAUCAUUCCCUUGCAUAGAUUUCUCUUUUACCAAUUUGAGUGCCUCCUACAUGGGCAGCAGUGGACUAAGUGCUGGGUGUGAUAAAGAGGAAUGACUUAAUUAUGAGACUGUAUAUAAUCAAAUACAGUGUGGGUUAGGACCUGUGGCAGACCAUUAUAAUAAAGCAUGGCCCCGUGAGGGUUUUGAAAGAGAGAGAGACUUGGCUUCCUUAGUUGGUAUGAUAGUUUCUUGGUAGAUACAGGUUGAAAAUUUUUUGUGGCAGCCAAUCCUCAUGGGCUUUUUACUCAUUUGAUUAGUAUUAAUAUUUAUGUCAGUAAGCCAGGUGACUGUGACUGUCUUUGGUACCAUCCUUUUUGAACAGAAAGGCAACAUGUGGGUUGGAUAAUCACACUUUUAGGUGAAACUGACUUGCUUAAACUGUAACAGUCAGUGCUAUUUAAGAAUUCAGGAUAAGCUUAGCCUCUAGAGGUCCUCUUCAACAUUUCUGUCAAGGAUUUGGAUGAAUACAACAAGAUGCUCCAUGGAAGAGAAAAUGGAUAAAUGGAUCCCACCAGUUAAGCUCCUAUUAUGCUUCAGCUGCUUUGUCUAUAAAAUAUCGACUUCACAUCUUGCCUAUCUCACAAGUUGGUUGUAAGAAUCAAAUUAAAUAUAAUGGAUGUAAAAGUG